AACGAACGCUGGCGGCAUGCCUAACACAUGCAAGUCGAACGAGACCUUCGGGUCUAGUGGCGCACGGGUGCGUAACGCGUGGGAACCUGCCCUUAGGUUCGGAAUAACUCCCCGAAAGGGGUGCUAAUAUCGGUUAAUGUCUUCGGACCAAAGAUUUAUCGCCGUUGGAUGGGCCCGCGUUGGAUUAGCUAGUUGGUAGGGUAAAAGCCUACCAAGGCGACGAUCCAUAGCUGGUCUGAGAGGAUGAUCAGCCACACUGGGACUGAGACACGGCCCAGACUCCUGCGGGAGGCAGCAGUGGGGGAUAUUGGACAAUGGGCGGAAGGCUGAUCCAGCAAUGCCGCGUGAGUGAUGAAGGCCUUAGGGUUGUAAAGCUCUUUUACCCGGGAUGAUAAUGACAGUACCGGAAGAAUAAGCACCGGCUAACUACGUG
Molecule: ribosomal RNA, 433 nt
Filed under: uncultured bacterium
Lineage: Bacteria
Description: partial 16S ribosomal RNA
Rfam family: Bacterial small subunit ribosomal RNA
Source: RNAcentral